AAAAGGGGUGGCAAUACUGUUCCAUGUUGAUUGGGUCUUCCAUCUUGAUAACACCUAUGUAGACGAGUUGGGCAAGCUUCUCAUAGUAGUAGGUUCAUUGAACGGAAUGCAACUUACGAUCGCUUCCAUAUAUGCACCUAACAACUCCCAAAUUUCCUUCAUUAGAAGAGCGCUAAAUAAAAUUUCUAGUAUCCGUGUGGGACACACUAUUAUCUGUGGCGAUCUCAACUGCACGUUAGACCCCGAACUAGAUAUUAAGCGCAUAGCAGACAAACAACCUCUCCAACACGCUAACAUAAUGAGCGCAACCCUUAGCACACUGCUCCAUACGCACGAUCUUUAUGAUUCGUGGCACACCCUUUAUCCGAG
Molecule: non-coding RNA, 369 nt
Organism: Pelobates cultripes (western spadefoot toad)
Lineage: Eukaryota; Metazoa; Chordata; Amphibia; Anura; Pelobatidae
Source: the annotation of a GenBank genome assembly